ACCAAGGCGACGAUGCGUAGCCGACCUGAGAGGGUGAUCGGCCACACUGGGACUGAGACACGGCCCAGACUCCUACGGGAGGCAGCAGUAGGGAAUUUUCGGCAAUGGGGGAAACCCUGACCGAGCAACGCCGCGUGAAGGAAGAAGUAAUUCGUUAUGUAAACUUCUGUCAUAAAGGAAGAACGGUGGAUAUAGGGAAUGAUAUCCAAGUGACGGUACUCUAUAAGAAAGCCACGGCUAACUACGUGCCAGCAGCCGCGGUAAUACGUAGGUGGCGAGCGUUAUCCGGAAUUAUUGGGCGUAAAGAGGGAGCAGGCGGCACUAAGGGUCUGUGGUGAAAGAUCGAAGCUUAACUUCGGUAAGCCAUGGAAACCGUAGAGCUAGAGUGUGUGAGAGGAUCGUGGAAUUCCUAGUGUAGCGGUGAAAUGCGUAGAUAUAUGGAGGAACACCAGUGGCGAAGGCGACGAUCUGGCGCAUAACUGACGCUCAGUCCCGAAAGCGUGGGGAGCAAAUAGGAUUAGAUACCCUAGUAGUCCACGCCGUA
Molecule: ribosomal RNA, 544 nt
Filed under: uncultured bacterium
Lineage: Bacteria
Description: bacterial SSU rRNA
Rfam family: Bacterial small subunit ribosomal RNA
Source: RNAcentral